GACGAAGGGGGCUAGCGUUGUUCGGAAUUACUGGGCGUAAAGCGUGUGUAGGUGGUUGUCAUAGUCAGGCGUGAAAGCCUUGAGCUCAACUCAAGAAAUGCGCUUGAUACUGGGCAGCUAGAGGACCGGAGAGGAUAGUGGAAUUCCCAGUGUAGUGGUGAAAUGCGUAGAUAUUGGGAAGAACACCUGAGGCGAAGGCGGGUUGCUGGGCUGAUACUGACGCUGAGGCGCGAAAGCCAGGGGAGCAAACGGG
This 253-nucleotide ribosomal RNA is filed under the name uncultured bacterium. Its description in RNAcentral is "partial 16S ribosomal RNA". It matches the Rfam family "Bacterial small subunit ribosomal RNA", at positions 524 to 776 of the family's 1533-position model. The record is from RNAcentral.